Molecule: non-coding RNA, 21 nt
Filed under: Caenorhabditis elegans
Lineage: Eukaryota; Metazoa; Nematoda; Chromadorea; Rhabditida; Rhabditidae
Source: RNAcentral
UCUAGUUGUGAAUCCUUAUAA